Molecule: transfer RNA, 42 nt
Filed under: Melastoma septemnervium
Lineage: Eukaryota; Viridiplantae; Streptophyta; Magnoliopsida; Myrtales; Melastomataceae
Description: partial transfer RNA-Lys
Source: RNAcentral
CCGACUAGKUCCGGGUUCGAGUCCCGGGCAACCCAUUGUAAU